AAAAAGGGUUGAUUGGCUAAAAAUGCCACACUCGUCCAAAAUUGGCUAAGUUUUGUAUGGCAAUCUAGACAUAUGGCCGACAUAAUUUAUGGAAAUUGACUUUGAAGGAAAUAUUUGAGAGAUAAUAUACCUGAAGUAU
Benincasa hispida (wax gourd) is the source of this 139-nucleotide small nuclear RNA. RefSeq annotates it as U11 spliceosomal RNA. NCBI's taxonomy places the organism in Eukaryota, Viridiplantae, Streptophyta, Magnoliopsida, Cucurbitales, Cucurbitaceae. The record is from RefSeq and is a predicted model, not a curated record.